GGAAUCUUCCACAAUGGACGAAAGUCUGAUGGAGCAACGCCGCGUGAGUGAAGAAGGGUUUCGGCUCGUAAAGCUCUGUUGUUAAAGAAGAACACGUAUGAGAGUAACUGUUCAUACGUUGACGGUAUUUAACCAGAAAGUCACGGCUAACUACGUGCCAG
Molecule: ribosomal RNA, 161 nt
Filed under: uncultured bacterium
Lineage: Bacteria
Description: partial 16S ribosomal RNA
Rfam family: Bacterial small subunit ribosomal RNA
Source: RNAcentral